RNAcentral lists this ribosomal RNA (253 nucleotides) under uncultured bacterium. RNAcentral's name for it is "partial 16S ribosomal RNA". It matches the Rfam family "Bacterial small subunit ribosomal RNA", at positions 524 to 776 of the family's 1533-position model. The record is from RNAcentral.
UACGGGGGGGGCAAGCGUUGUUCGGAAUUAUUGGGCGUAAAGGGCUCGUAGGCGGUUUGUCGCGUCGGGAGUGAAAACGCCGUGCUUAACACGGCGCUUGCUUUCGAUACGGGCAGACUAGAGGUAUGCAGGGGAGAACGGAAUUCCUGGUGUAGCGGUGAAAUGCGCAGAUAUCAGGAGGAACACCGGUGGCGAAGGCGGUUCUCUGGGCAUUACCUGACGCUGAGGAGCGAAAGUGUGGGGAGCGAACAGG